AGGGGAAGUCUCACUUAGGGGAAGUCUCACUUAUUAGGGAAGUCUCGUUUUGUGUGUUUUUACAAAGAGGAUUUUCACUUUAAUCAGAUGUUCAGUUUUAUUUUGGUGGUUCUACAUAAACGGGUUUCUCCACGUAAGCUGAUCCGAGAGUGUUGCCUGUUGUGUGCGUUCUGCCUGCAAUAAAACUUCCUUCAACUAUUCCGUGUCCGUCGUACUGCUCCUGGGUCCUGAACACACCCGUUACAGUACGAUCUGGUCUUAGCGUUGACACGGCAUAUGACACCUCAUCACAGGCCCGGUUUGUGUCCAUUGAAGAGGAGAUCCAGCGAUAUCGCCGAGGUUCAAGGACAGGGACCAGAUCUUGACCGCCUUGAUGAACCAGGUACAGCAACUCCCGGUAGCCAUAACCGCGUCUCGAACCAUCGCAUUCAACGUCAGCCUCAGAGCCCCGGGUGGGGGAGCCGGAACGUUACCUUCCGGUCCUUCUCCGACAACCUGCGCAAGGUCUUCAGGGCGGUGUCCGUUGGACCGGACCUACUGGGGCUCCAGCAGGGCCACCAACCUGUCACGGACUGUGCCAUUGAAUUCCAGACCAAAGGCCCAAUGAAGUUUGUGGAACAUGGUGUGACGUAUAAUUGCUCGGGCCUAGCAGAUUACGCCGAAGACGAAAAAGUCUCGUUGAAGUUACCCACAUCCCUAGAUGGGCAUUAGUCUGUUAUAUUGAAAAGUGUUCACGUGUCAGAACAUAAUAAAGGAAGUUGCAGUAGAGUUGGUCAGAAAAAACCCGCGUAUAACUAUUCUCAGUCGAAGCCUCAAAGCACUAAACACCAUCAGAGCGGACCAGACGCCCUCCCAACAGCUCUCAUUCAGAACUGCAGCGGGAUUUAAAAAACAUUUCUUCAGGAUGAACCGAAAACCACCGGAUGAAAUAGAGGAAAUCCAAGAGGAAGCUGACUACGUUAAUGAACCAGUACGUCCUGUGUAUAAAGUGGCAGCCCCUCCAGACCAGAGGUUCCUCUUCUUCUCUCAGACUCUUCCACCGAUAGCCGUGUGUUGGCUGAUACUGGUGCUCAUCCUGGGCCUUCGUAUCCACUGACAGAAGUCACUCUUUGUGAUGCGUAGAGGACAUUUGGUACUAAGAAGACAGACCGGAGACAUGUGAACCCACAAUGUAAAGUACAUUAUAAUCAUGUAAAACACGUUUCUUUGUGUUUUUGUACGUUCCUCCGUCCGUCGCCGUAGUUACUUCUGUCAUUUCAGAACACGCCACACAAGCUGAAGAAAUGUACUGGAGAGAACGAAACCGGGAUCUGGAGAACCAGAAGAACACCUUGACAAUGGAACGCAACAAUCUGACGGUCGAGUUGAGCAACCUGACAACACGGAACCAGGAUCUGGAGAACCGGAAGAACACCUUGACAAUGGAACGCAACAAUCUGAAGGUCGAGUUGAGCAACCUGACAACACGGAACCAGGAUCUGGAGAACCGGAAGAACACCUUGACAAUGGAACGCAACAAUCUGAAGGUCGAGUUGAGCAACCUGACAACACGGAACCAGGAUCUGGAGAACCGGAAGAACACCUUGACAAUGGAACGCAACAAUCUGAAGGUCGAGUUGAGCAACCUGACAACACGGAACCAGGAUCUGGAGAACCAGAAGAACACCUUGACACAACAAAUACAAGACAAGUCAUGGAACGUAAUGUGUCUUUGCUAACAGGCCAUGUACCACAUUCCUUCAAAGUAGCUGUAAUUAAACCUCUCCUGAAG
Molecule: RNA transcript, 1771 nt
Organism: Cyclopterus lumpus (lumpfish)
Lineage: Eukaryota; Metazoa; Chordata; Actinopteri; Perciformes; Cyclopteridae
Gene name: M protein, serotype 6-like
Exons: 4
Source: RefSeq, a predicted model, not a curated record